AUGCUUUUGAGGCUCAUCCAUGUUAGCCAAGGGUUGGUUCCUCUGUUUUGCUUAAGAAUUGCCUAUUCCAAGUCAAGUAAGAUGCUUAGAGACACAAUCUUUUUUACUGUGAACGAUACACAGAAUAUAACAAUUGCCAUCAUUUUACACAUUCCAGUCCAGGUCAUCGCGUCUUGCUAUCCUGCAGAUCCUCAACUCGCCCCACCAGCCCGGAGCCACCAUCAAGCUCAGUGGACAGAAGCUCAGCCCUGCUGUCUUUUCUCAAAACCCCACGUGCCCCACCCCACCCUAAGCAGGACUCCACCAAUGGAUGCCUCAGGACGGCAGCUAAAUGAAAGGGCUCCUGUGCCAGGAGUUGAGGCAAGAGUACUGGACUGGGAUGCCAUUGCCUUCUGCGACAGGUGAGGUCUGGUGGUCUCUAAAUCUGUCUCCAAAAGACAGACCAUCCAAGGAGAGACCUUGAAUUACAGCUGUAAUCAGCUAAUUAUAAUGAGGUAUGUUGGUUAAGUCCAAAGAGGGAGCAAGUGUGUCCCGGUGGCAGAGGGUGAAGACUGCCCCCAUCUGUUUCCCCACUUCCUGCUGCCCAGGGGCCCAGACAACUUAUGUUCCGAGAAUGUCUUCUUUUGGCUCGGGUAUCUGGAAGGAGGCCUGCCAUUUGUUUCUCAAGGAGGGUGCAGUCAUGAAGUCUCUUUAGUCAAUUGAAAAUGAAAAUCCUGCUACCUACUGAAGUGGCAGAUGGGGUGAGGGUGAGACAGGGCCCCUCAGCUCCUGGUCCCAGAAAGAGGGCAGAGGGGAAGACAGAGACCUGUGAUGAGCCCGCGCGCACGGUGUUCCUUUCACUGCUCACUGAGGCGGCAUCACAGUUUGAGUUCCUUCCUCAGCCUGGUCCAGUGUCCUCACAGAUCUCACAGGCUGGAGCGGUAAUCAAGCACGGUCAGAGCCCUGGGGAGUUUCAGAUGAGCCCAGAUGCACCACGAAGCAGCGGUGGCCAUCAGCAGGUCUUCAUGGAGUGGGCAACUUCUGAACUGGGUCUAAGGGUGAGUUAGGUAUCUAGGCAAAGAUCGGCAUGGGUGCAAAACAAAUCACAAGGUGAGUGAAUGAACGGGGUGUCCCUCUAACAUAGGGAGGCAGCCCACCAGGAGGGGAGCCUGAGGUCACAGGCCCCCCUGGGAGGCCUGCGGGCAGGGGCUGCAGUGUGCCGCCUGCCUCACCCACCGUGUGAAUGAACGGGG
This 1232-nucleotide long non-coding RNA is filed under the name Capra hircus (goat). RNAcentral's name for it is "lncRNA (ENSCHIG00000003831.1)". The record is from RNAcentral. Lineage: Eukaryota; Metazoa; Chordata; Mammalia; Artiodactyla; Bovidae.